CUGCUAACCAUACCCAGUCCCCCACCUGGAUGUCUUCUCCUGCCCUCCUGUGCCUGUCUGCCUGCACUUUGUAGGCGUGUUUAGCUAGUUCCAAGUGCCGUCGUAGCUCCUCGUGGACCUCCUGCAAUUCUGCUGCUAAAUGCUCCGCUCCCUGCGACUCCCCCUGCGUCGUUGUCUCCAACGCCGGGAAGGUUCUGGGAUGUCGCCCAUUGUUGGCGAAGAACGGUGUCACCCCCGUUGACGCGUGCUUCGUGUUGUUGUAGGCAAACUCGGCCAUCGGUAAGUAGUCCACCCAAGUUGCAGGCUUUUGAUUGGCGUAACAUCGCAGGUACUGCUGCAUGAUGGCGUUGACCCUCUCCGCUUGGCCGUUGGUUUGCGGGUGUCUCGCCGACGCUAAGUUGAUCUUGACAUUCAGGAUGCCCAGGAGCUUCUGCCAGAAACUGGAAAUGAAUUGGCGACCCCGGUCGGACAGGAUGGACCGCGGUAAGCCGUGCACCCGGAACACGUGGUCUAUGAACAGCUUGGCGGUCUGUUCCGCUGUUGCCACCUUCGCGCAAGGAAUGAAGUGCGCCAUCUUGGUGAACAGAUCUACAACCACAAGCACCGCCGUCUUGCCCCGCGAACUGGGCAGAUCAGUAACAAAGUCCAGCGCCACCCUUUCCCACGGCUGCAGUGGCGUCUCCAGCGGUUCCAGCAAUCCCGCUGGCUUCUUGUGCACUGGCUUGGACCUCUGACAAGUGUCACACCUGGCGACGUAAUCCGCGACCUCUCCCCGCAUCUGGGGCCACCAAAAGUCUCUGGCUACUAAGUCCGCCGUCUUUUCUUUGCCGAAGUGACCCGCGCUGGGGCGUCGUGUAACUGCUGUAAAACCUUCGCGCGGAGAUCGUCUCCCGGCACGUAGAGAGCACCUUUGCGGGUCAGCAGGCCGUCGCGUAUCUGGAAUUCGCCGUCCUUUGCUGUCCCUCUUCGCACCUCCUCCAUCUUGGAUUGUGCGAACGGAUCCGUCUUUAGCGCGCGUCGUACCGCGUCCAGGUCCACGGCGGCGGAAGCGCACGCCCACGCUUGCGGUGCGAAAAUGUGCCUGGCUGCCACUGGUGCCGCUUCCUCGAGAUACUGCGGUUUCCUGGAGAGCGCAUCCGCUAUGACGUUGUUGUCUCCCGGGAUAUACUCUAUCCGGAAAUCGAAAUCCGCAAAGAACUCCGCCCAUCUCAUGUGCCUCUGGCUCUGGAGCUUCGCCGUGCGCCAAUACUCUAGGUUCUUGUGGUCCGUGCGGACCUGCACGGUGUGCUUGGCUCCGAUGAGGAAAUGCCGCCACGCCUUGAAAGCCGCGUGGAUGGCCAACAACUCCCUGUCCCAGAUGGUGUAGUUCUGUUCCGACUUGCUGAGCUUCCGGGAAUAGAAAGCGCAGGGCCUCCAGUUCCCUUGCGGAUCUUCCUGCAAGAGGACGGCCCCCACUGCUCUGUCAGAUGCGUCAGUCUCAACCCGCAUGGGCCUGCCGGGAUUCACGUGUAGCAGCUGGUCUUCGGACGCGAAGAGACUCUUAAGUCUCCUGAAGGACUGCUCCGCCUGGUCCGUCCAGGUGAACUUCUUCUUCUUGGAACUGAGGGUGUCCGUGAUAGCUGCCGUCUCUUUCGCGAAACCCCUGAUGAACUUGCGGUAAAAGUUGGCGAAGCCGACGAACCUCUGGACCUCCUUCCGAUUGCGCGGGCUAUUCCAGUCCAACACCGCGCGGACUUUGGCGCUGUCCAUGGCUAGUCCCUUGUCGGACAGCCGGUAGCCCAGGAAAUCCACCUCCGUCACGUCGAACUGGCACUUCUCCAGCUUGGCGUAGAGUCUGUGCUCCCGUAGCCUCUGCAGGACCUCCUUUACGUCUCUUUCGUGAGUCUCCUGCGAUUCUGAGAAGAUCAGAAUAUCGUCGAGAAAGCAUACGCACUUCUUGUAGAGGAGUCCUGCUAGCACGUGGUGCAUGAAUGCUUGGAAACAGUGGGAGCCAUUUUGGAGACCAAACGGCAUAACUCUGUAUUCAUAGGUGCCCAGCGGCGUGAACAUGGCCGUCUUCCACUCGUCACCUUCCCUCAUGCGUAUUAGAUUGUAUGCUCCGCGUAGAUCCAACUUGGUGAAGAUCCUCCCCUUCCUCACCGUCGCGAGCAGGUCGUCAAUCUUGGGCAUGGGGAAAGCCUUGGGCUUUGUCAUCGAGUUUAUGGCCCUAUAGUCCACAAUGAGCCGUUUUUGGGGCGUGUCCUUCUUCUUCACGAAAAACACAGGACUGCCCCCCACUGCCUUGGAUUCUCGGAUGAAUCCCCGCUUCAAAUUGUGAUCUAUGAACUCCCUGAGUUCCUGCAUCUCAUCUUCAGACAUGGAAUACAGCUUCGCAGUCGGUAGCGUCGCCCCUGGUAAGAGGUCAAUUGCACAGUCGUAGGGCCGGUGGGGUGGUAAUUGGUCAGCUUCCUUCUCGCAGAAGACCUCCAAAACCCCUUGUACUUGUGGGGCACUGCCUGCACCAUGCCUAGAUGCAACUGUUGCCCUUCCUCCUGGCCCUCCUCCUCCUGGCCGAUCUGGAUGCAAUGUUGUGCGCAGUAGGACGAGCCAAAGGUGAGCUGCCGCUGGUACCACGCCAAUGAUGGGCUGUGUCUGUCCAGCCAACUCAUGCCUAACACUAUGGGCGUGUCUGACAGUUGGGUGACAUUGAAACUGAUGACCUCGCGAUGAUUCCCAAUUUUCAGCAGCAUGGGUGGCGUCUGUUGUACCACUUGCCCACCCAGCAACUUCCUGCCAUCUACGGUGACCACGUUCAGAGGCAGCGUGGCUGGUAGUAGCGCUAUGCGAUGCUGCUUGAUGAACUGCAUCCCCACGAAGUCUGCGUUGCUCCCUGAGUCAAUCGUAAUGGGGACUUCCAGGGUGAGUCCAUUAGGCAGCUGGAGAGUAGCAGUGAGCUGCACCACUGGCUUGGGUGGUAAGGGGUCUGUAGGCUGCAAAAGCGCUGGGGACUGCUUCACUGACUUGCCUGGCGGAGCCCCAGCAUCUCUGCUUCCAGCCAGGCAUUCUCGUUUCCCUGAAACUGUUCCCCUUGGAACGCUUCCCCUGUUACUGUUGCUAAGGCUGCAGUGUGCUUCUGGAGCCUCUGGGGACACUCUUUAGCCAUGUGCCGUGCACUGUCACAGAUGUAACACUUCCUGGUCCCUCUAGGAGGCUUCGCCUUGACUGCUCCGGACGCUGAGGCUCCGGCAGCUGUCUGAGCCUUUGCACCACCCAGCUCCAUUGGUUCUUCCCCCCCUUUCAGCAUAGGCGAGGGGUUUGUACGUCCCAGGUCCCUGGGAGGAAAAGGAGGCGCUCUAGCUGGUGGGCGGACGUGACGCCCCUCCUCACUGUGCCAAGGGCGUUCUUCGUGGCGCACCCCUAUCGUGAGUGCCCUCUGCACGACGUCUGCUAGGGUUUGAGGUCUGUCUCCCCUAGCCAGCUCAUCUUUUACUGAGCCAUGAAGCCCCUCCCAGAACAAGUCCCUCACUGCCAGGGAGUCCUUUUCCCAGCCCAGCACAUUCAGCAAUGCAAAAAAGCGAGAAUGGUACUGACGCACUGUAGCCUUGCCCUGCCGCAAUCCAUGCAUCUCCUGGCGCGCCACAUCAACGUCAACGGUAGAUUGGAAGCAAGCGUCCAUGGCUUUGAUAAAUUCGUCAGAGUCCCUGCGUGCAAGACCAUCUUCGCGCCACAAAUUGCGUAACCAGGUUCUAGCUUCCCCAUGCAAAUGGGACACAAUAAAGCCUACUUUCUCCUCCUCAUCUUUGAAGUCGUUUCGAAGCAAAUGCAGCGCGUAUACGACGUCUGCUCUGAAAUUGGGAUAAUGCUUCAGGUUCCCAUCGAAGUGGGCUACUAAAUUGCCCCCCUCCGUCCGAGUCCGAUUCCCUCUGAUCUGGACCCCGGGAACCCCUCUUUGCACGCCCGAUCCCACCUGGCUUGCAGAUCCUGGCAUCGCGCUUCUGCGUCGGCAACUGUCUUCUGAGAGACCCGUACUGCAACGGAGAGUUCAGUGACUGCGUUUUGCAGGGUCGUUAUCUGCUCCUCAGUAGUCAUCUCUGCCAAACUUCGUGAGCUUUGCAAAAAAAAAUUUUGCGGUUUUUUUGAGAGGGGACUUACUGUCAGGGCUGCCUCAAGUCUCAGCUCACAAAAGACCAACGCCUAUGUCUUCUUAUAUACAAAAGUGUUUAUUGCAGUUCAUUGUUUGCUUGACAUCCUAGGCGCGCAGCCCUACGUCUGCUACGCUUAGACCGCUGAAGUCCCCUCUGAAUCCGUCCCUCCCCUGCACCAGUUUAAGAGGCUUGCGCUGCUCCACCUCUUUCUCUCUUUCCUUUUCCGCAGGGUCCUUCUGCCCGCUGGGGUUUCGCCCCUCCUGGAUUCCUCUGACGCGGAAUCAGACUGCUCUUGCCCCCUCCUGCGGGCUUUGGGACCUGGCCCCUCCUCCGGGCUCCCUGUACUUCCGCGCGCCUCUACAUUUGAACUUGGCGCGCGCGCCCAGCCUCUAACCUUCCUUUCAACAGCUACACUACUCCCUUCACUGCUCCCCUCCCCUUCCGGGAGGAUGGCUUGCUCCGACCUCCCUCCUUUCUCUGCUGCCGGAGCCGCUUCCCCUGACACACUGAAACCUCCACCCCCUUCGCUGCACUCUGGCGGGGAGGCUGGUCCUGACACCCAGCUGCCACUUUGGGAUGCCCAGCUGGCCCCCUGCUCCUGACACGUCCCCCCUGGGGCUCCCCUGGGCUUGACCACCGGCGCCCCCUUCUGGGAAUCCUCUGAUUCGCUGGAAAGACUCAUGGAAUCUCUUGAGUCAUUGUCAUCCUCUUCCUCGCUGUCCUGGGAUUCAUCCCCAUCGCUCUCCAUCUCCUGCCUACCCUGUGCCUCUGUCCCUGAACCCCUGACA
RNAcentral lists this long non-coding RNA (4912 nucleotides) under Podarcis lilfordi (Lilford's wall lizard). The record is from RNAcentral. Lineage: Eukaryota; Metazoa; Chordata; Lepidosauria; Squamata; Lacertidae.